GAUGAACGCUAGCGGCAGGCCUAAUACAUGCAAGUCGAACGGGAUCCAGAUCAAAGCUUGCUUUGGUCUGGUGAGAGUGGCGCACGGGUGCGUAACGCGUGAGCAACCUACCUUUGUCAGGGGGAUAGCCCGGCGAAAGUCGGAUUAAUACCGCAUGACAUCAUUGAGAGGCAUCUUUCGAUGAUCACAGAUUUAUCGGACAAGGAUGGGCUCGCGUGACAUUAGCUAGUUGGUAAGGUAACGGCUUACCAAGGCUGCGAUGUCUAGGGGCUCUGAGAGGAGAAUCCCCCACACUUGUACGGAGACACGGACCAGACGCCUACGGGAGGCAGCAGUAAGGAAUAGUGGUCAAUGGACGGAAGUCUGAACCAGCCAUGCCGCGUGCAGGAAGACGGCCCUAUGGGUAGUAAACUGCUCUUAGACGGGAACAAACGUCGGUACGUGUACCGGUCUGAGUGUACCGUAAGAAUAAGGAUCGGCUAACUCCGUG
Molecule: ribosomal RNA, 490 nt
Filed under: uncultured bacterium
Lineage: Bacteria
Description: partial 16S ribosomal RNA
Rfam family: Bacterial small subunit ribosomal RNA
Source: RNAcentral